GCACAAGCGGUGGAGCAUGUGGUUUAAUUCGAAGAUACGCGAAAAACCUUACCAGGUCUUGACAUACCAAUGAUCGCUUUUGUAAUGAAAGCUUUUCUUCGGAACAUUGGAUACAGGUGGUGCAUGGUCGUCGUCAGCUCGUGUCGUGAGAUGUUGGGUUAAGUCCCGCAACGAGCGCAACCCUUGUUAUUAGUUGCCAGCAUUUAGUUGGGCACUCUAAUGAGACUGCCGGUGAUAAACCGGAGGAAGGUGGGGACGACGUCAGAUCAUCAUGCCCCUUAUGACCUGGGCAACACACGUGCUACAAUGGGAAGUACAACGAGUCGCAAACCGGCGACGGUAAGCUAAUCUCUUAAAACUUCUCUCAGUUCGGACUGGAGUCUGCAACUCGACUCCACGAAGGCGGAAUCGCUAGUAAUCGCGAAUCAGCAUGUCGCGGUGAAUACGUUCCCGGGUCUUGUACACACCGCCCGUCAAAUCAUGGGAGUCGGAAGUACCCAAAGUCGCUUGGCUAACUUUUAGAGGCCGGUGCCUAAGGUAAAAUCGAUGACUGGGAUUAAGUCGUAACAAGGUAGCCGUAGGAGAACCUGCGGCUGGAUCACCUCCUUUCUAAGGA
Molecule: ribosomal RNA, 616 nt
Filed under: Oenococcus oeni
Lineage: Bacteria; Bacillati; Bacillota; Bacilli; Lactobacillales; Lactobacillaceae
Description: bacterial SSU rRNA
Rfam family: Bacterial small subunit ribosomal RNA
Source: RNAcentral